CUCGAGACGCCACAAGAAAUUCUCAAUGGGGCUUACUUAAAUCCGGUGCUGUGCCGAAAGCCAUUGUUCCUUACGUAGAGCUUUCAAAAUGACAAGAGGAGAAGAUGAUUUUUCAGCUUACAAGAACUUCCCCGGAUUACUGUAAAUUAAUUUCAUCACACGGAGAAGGGCAUUAAACGUUUCAAGUUACAUCGACAACUUUAGGAUUGUUUUAAAGGACUCCCAUCCAUACUGUUGCAGCACUGUACCAGACAGCACACUAUUCAGAACUGAGAAAGAGUGC
This is a long non-coding RNA of Sinocyclocheilus grahami, 283 nucleotides long. RefSeq lists it as uncharacterized. The record is from RefSeq and is a predicted model, not a curated record. The transcript has 3 exons. NCBI's taxonomy places the organism in Eukaryota, Metazoa, Chordata, Actinopteri, Cypriniformes, Cyprinidae.